Molecule: long non-coding RNA, 1533 nt
Organism: Cyprinus carpio (common carp)
Lineage: Eukaryota; Metazoa; Chordata; Actinopteri; Cypriniformes; Cyprinidae
Source: Ensembl
CUCAGUAGCAGCAAAAGGCUUUUGUAAUACAAUAUGUACACAAUAACAUUGCACAUUGUACUUUUGUGCGUAGUUAAGGCCACCUAAUAUAAAGGGGACCGUAUUUUAAUAUUAAUAUUAUAAUUUAUUAACAUUAGUAUUGAAUAAAAUUUUAGUUUUUUACUUUUUAUUUUAGUUUUAGUGAUUUUGCUAUGUACUUUUGUAUUCAUUUAUUUAAUAUUUUUAUAUAAUUUAUUUUUACUUCCAUUUUAGCACUUCAACCUAAACUUUUUUCAUUUAGUUAACAUGGCAACAUUUUAUAACUUAAAAAAAAAAUUAAAAAAUUAAGUUUGUUUUCACCAAAUUGUUAUUUUUUAUUUUAACUAAGACAACACUGGAACAACAUUGCCACUCUACUCAGUGUUUUUUUUGUUUUUUUUUCAGGGCCACCCUUCAAGAUCUAGUCCAAGUUGCUCGAGAUCUAGUCAAACCCAGGCCUGAGAAAAAAGAUGUGAAUAUGUCCUCUUGCCAAUCCUGAGAGACAGAAAACUGUAUCAUACUCAAUACUCCAGCCACAGUCAAGGCUGGUACCACACUGAAACGCUUAGCAGUCCUGCCAGUGUAAAGCUUGACAUUGUCUUUCUCCAGUCAUUGAUUCUGUAGGGAAAAGAGAAGCAAGAACAUUUUACUAAAGUUCUCCUUUAGCUUUCUGCAUGAGAAUGUGAGGGAGCAACAUGAGGUGCAUAUUUGGGCAAGGAGGAAAAGAGAAUGAUAUCCCACGUCACAAGUCUCUAUCUGCUCCACCAGGACCGUUGAACACUUUAAUAAGGCCCAACCUUGAUGAAGCUGUCAGGGCUGGAAGACACACGAGGGGUUAGACGUACGCUUUCAAACACGCGUGACCUCACGCUGAUGAGCCUAAUUUACACAUCCUCAAGGCCUUUCCCCUGAGCCCACCAAUCACAAUACCCUCCCACUUGACCUGCGACCCUCCACGGGGGUCUCCCAUUGGCUGCGUAGUGAAAGGAAAGAGGGAGACAUCCCUGCUGCUCAUCUCCAUCACAAUGGCAGCAUAUGUUUGUGGGCAUUUGAGCGCAUGGAGCUGGCAGAGUCCAUAUUAGACUGACGACAGAGACCAGGUGCCUGAACCCCACACACUCGGAGACUAAAGAGAAAGUCAACACUGUUAGUAACACUUCUUCUCUGAUUUAUAACCGAAACCGCUGGAGCUAGUCUAUCUGUUUAGCACACAGAAAGAGCUCUCUGUAUGCUUGUUUAGUGGGCAGGCUGAUGUAAACUUUGAUGGGAUCAUAUGCACUUUGGCAUUGUGUUCUAUGGAGUUGUAGAUGUUGAUUGAUUAUGGACUGUGAGAUAGUUAUAUCACUGAAUGUGUCUGGGUUACUGGAUUUCACUCGGUGCCCCGUGCAAACAGCUUACUGCUGAUUAAACAUUGAUUUUCCUCUGCACCCUCUCACCCUGAUAAAUAGAGCAUUAAGAGGGCUCCACAAAUAAUAACAUUGUGGAAUAAUAAAAUUUGUUAUAUCUGGGGAACCA